This 326-nucleotide ribosomal RNA is filed under the name uncultured eukaryote. Its description in RNAcentral is "partial 18S ribosomal RNA". It matches the Rfam family "Eukaryotic small subunit ribosomal RNA", at positions 1470 to 1796 of the family's 1831-position model. The record is from RNAcentral.
CCCUUAGAUGUUCUGGGCCGCACGCGCGCUACACUGAUGCAUUCAACAAGCCUAGCCUUGACCGAGAGGUCCGGGUAAUCUUUGAAACUGCAUCGUGAUGGGGCUAGAUUAUUGCAAUUAUUAAUCUUCAACGAGGAAUGCCUAGUAAGCGUGAUUCAUCAAAUCGCGUUGAUUACGUCCCUGCCCUUUGUACACACCGCCCGUCGCUCCUACCGAUUGAAUGUGUUGGUGAGGAGCUCGGAUUGGCAGCAGUUGGUGGUUCGCCACCGGCUAUUGCUGAGAAGUCCUCCAAACCGCCCCAUUUAGAGGAAGGAGAAGUUGUAACA